Bos taurus (domestic cattle) is the source of this 519-nucleotide long non-coding RNA. Lineage: Eukaryota; Metazoa; Chordata; Mammalia; Artiodactyla; Bovidae. The record is from Ensembl.
AGAGCACAGGCCCUAGGGUGAGCGUCACUGCAGCUCACGGGCUUAGCUGCCCUGAGGCAUGUGGGAUCUUCCUGGACCAGGGUUCGAAACCAUACCCCUGCAGGUGGAAGAGUCACCGGUCUGUUCUCAAUUACUCUGCGGCCCUGCUCUCUGCUUUCUACAGCUCAUUUGUGAAGGAACAUUUGCCCUGGAGCUGGGGACACGUGGGCGUCCAACACCUUCACUCUAGAAGGCUCUGUGGCCUCGAAGAUCAUGCAACUUCUGGAUUCAGACUUCUUCGCCUCACCCAUAAACCACAGACGUCUUCCUAACCAGGCUGGGCCUGAGAUGAGGGCGGAGAGAGAAAGAGAGCAGCGGGUUUUCGUUCUGCCUCUCCCGCGCCACUCGAUGGUGGCCUGAAAUCGCAGCCGUCAGCCUUGGAGAGCGUCCCUCCGACUUGCAAGCGUAGCGGGGUUCAGAGCCUCAGUCACCUGGACGGCUGGCUUCUGAGUCCUCAGCGCCUCACCACCUCGCGGAGGU